This 446-nucleotide ribosomal RNA is filed under the name uncultured bacterium. RNAcentral's name for it is "partial 16S ribosomal RNA". It matches the Rfam family "Bacterial small subunit ribosomal RNA", at positions 338 to 795 of the family's 1533-position model. The record is from RNAcentral.
CCUACGGGUGGCAGCAGUCGAGAAUCAUUCACAAUGGGGGAAACCCUGAUGGUGCGACGCCGCGUGGGGGAAUGAAGGUCUUCGGAUUGUAAACCCCUGUCAUGUGGGAGCAAAUGAAACAGAGAGUACCACAAUAGGAAGUACCGGCUAACACUGUGCCAGCAGCCGCGGUAAGACAGAGGUCUCAAGUGUUGUUCGGAAUCACUGGGGGUAAAGCGGGCGGAGGCGGUUGCGUAAGUAGUGUGGGAAAGGCGCGGGCUCAAACCGCGGACGGCACAUGAUACUGCGAGACUAGAGUAAUGGAGGGGGAUCCGGAAUUCGCGGUGUAGCAGUGAAAUGCGUAGAUAUCGAGCGGAACACUCGUGGCGAAGGCGGGUUCCUGGACAUUAACUGACGCUGAGGCACGAAGGCCAGGGGAGCGAAAGGGAUUAGAUACCCGAGUAGUC